GAUGAAGUAAAGAUCUUGGGUGCCCGCGAGGGCAUAACAGGGAAGCCGGUGUAAGUCCGGCAUGGUCCCGCCACUGUGAUCAGGAACGACCUUUCAGAUGCCACUCGGUGAAGAGCCGGGGAAGGCGGAGGGUUAGAGGCUGAAGUCAGCCUCACCUGUCAAUCAGGAGACCUACCCAGGAUUGGUUUGUGAU
Molecule: non-coding RNA, 193 nt
Filed under: Granulicella tundricola
Lineage: Bacteria; Pseudomonadati; Acidobacteriota; Terriglobia; Terriglobales; Acidobacteriaceae
Also listed under: 1 other name
Source: RNAcentral